GUGAGAUAUGACCUUCCUGGUACAGUCCGCUGGAAAAAGAGAAGAAAGCCUCGGAUGGGCAUGAGUGCAACUUUCUAAAUACAGUGUGCAGUGAUCAGUUCCCAAGGAUGGUUCUUACAAGGAGAAAAUCCAGAAACUAUCAAUUGGCUACCUUGAUGUGAUCCUCUUCAUGAGGAAGCUUGGACUUCUCCCUGCUUCACAGAUGGGUUACGAGAUAGUCCAGAGAAGCUGCAUUCUAAGAAGCAUUAUGACCUGUCUUCUUAGAAACAACACGGCAUCACUUUUACCACAUUCUUUUGGUCACAAGGAGAGGGAAUUACACAUCACCUGAUUUUGGAUGCAUGUGUGAGGUAUGCUACUGUACUCACAAGACAUCUGAAACUAUACCCAGAUCAUCUAGAAGUGAACAUGUUCCAGGUGAUGUCCCUAUGUAAACCAAGGGUUGGUUUUCAGUGGUAAAAAGUCAAUUAACCACUGGUGGGCAAUAUCCAAAAUUGAUAGCAGAAACAGAAAAAUAAAAGACUACUCAGCAAAGACAAGUAGAGUGUAAGCAUCACAUAGGCUGGAAACUUUGUUUGCUGUUUUCUGUUUGUUUGUGUCCGUUCUCUUCUGUAUCCCAAGCAUCUGGAAUGAGGACUGGCACAUAGCUAUUGUUCAAUAAAUGCUUGUUGAUAAAUAAAAAUGCUGGAAUUAUUUGACUUCUCUUUAUCAACUGUAGGCAACACCAAACUUGUAUGCAGGAAAGAAAGAUAUAGGAUUAAUGAAAUGAAGAAUUUGGGGAUGGUUUACUCUAAC
This 795-nucleotide long non-coding RNA is filed under the name Homo sapiens (human). Its description in RNAcentral is "HSALNT0174425". The record is from RNAcentral. Lineage: Eukaryota; Metazoa; Chordata; Mammalia; Primates; Hominidae.